This 496-nucleotide ribosomal RNA is filed under the name uncultured bacterium. Its description in RNAcentral is "partial 16S ribosomal RNA". It matches the Rfam family "Bacterial small subunit ribosomal RNA", at positions 29 to 507 of the family's 1533-position model. The record is from RNAcentral.
AUGAACGCUGGCGGCGUGCCUAAUACAUUCAAGUCGAGCGAACGGACGAGAAGCUUGCUUCUCUGAUGUUAGCGGCGGACGGGUGAGUAACACGUGGAUAACCUACCUAUAAGACUGGGAUAACUUCGGGAAACCGGAGCUAAUACCGGAUAAUAUUUUGAACCGCAUGGUUCAAAAGUGAAAGACGGUCUUGCUGUCACUUAUAGAUGGAUCCGCGCUGCAUUAGCUAGUUGGUAAGGUAACGGCUUACCAAGGCAACGAUGCAUAGCCGACCUGAGAGGGUGAUCGGCCACACUGGAACUGAGACACGGUCCAGACUCCUACGGGAGGCAGCAGUAGGGAAUCUUCCGCAAUGGGCGAAAGCAUGACGGAGCAACGCCGAGUGAGUGAUGAAGGUCUUCGGAUCGUAAAACUCUGUUAUUAGGGAAGAACAUAUGUGUAAGUAACUGUGCACAUCUUGACGGUACCUAAUCAGAAAGCCACGGCUAACUACGUG